CACGGGGGGAGCAAGCGUUGUUCGGAAUUACUGGGCGUAAAGGGCGUGUAGGCGGUCAAGUAAGUGGGAUGUGAAACGCCUCGGCUUACCCGAGGACCUGCAUCCCAAACUGCUUGGCUUGAGUAUGGGAGAGGAUGAGGGAAUUCCUGGUGUAGCGGUGAAAUGCGUAGAUAUCAGGAGGAACACCGGUGGCGAAAGCGCUCAUCUGGCCCAAUACUGACGCUGAGGCGCGAAAGCUAGGGGAGCAAACGGG
Molecule: ribosomal RNA, 253 nt
Filed under: uncultured bacterium
Lineage: Bacteria
Description: partial 16S ribosomal RNA
Rfam family: Bacterial small subunit ribosomal RNA
Source: RNAcentral